CUACAGAGCUAAUGAAAUUUUGAAGGACAUGUAAAUUGUAUAAUACUGUAAUUAUCAUUUGUUGAAUAUUUCAAUGGAGGCAAUCUAACAGGCAUAUAAACGUAAAUUUACUGAUGAAUGAAGAGAUACCAUGAACAAGAGCCUCAAUAUACAUCUUAUUACUCUGGUACUCAGUAGUAUAGCUGUAAUCACCAGCAUUAGUGCCGAAGGAGUACAUUCGUGUCCGUUGAUAAGAAACGUUUCCUGUAUGUCACCAGGUGUAGACAGUAUAGUUUGUUUUUGUGAAUGUUUGGAUGUUACAAUAAACAGAAUGGAAUUGACAAUUACAUAUUUUCCAUGCAUGGAGCUUCUAGAACAAUGUCAUAUCUACGAAUUUUGGUUUGAAAUAGAGUUAAAUGACGAGAAUGGACAUGUUAUCAAUAAAACGAAAAUUGUUCCAAACUACAGAACCGAUAACGGGUCAAAGUUGUUGCUUUUAAAUGGAUUGACAAAAUCACUUGAUCGCAAACUGAAGCUGAACAGGCAGUAUACAAUCUUAAUUCAGCCAGGUUGCACUAUUUGUGAUGACAAUUGUGCAUCUAUAGGUCAUAUAGAAAUACCAGUGGAAACCAGCACAAGUCCUAUAAAUGCUAAAAAGAAUGAACCCGAAAACUUGCCGAUUGUUCCGAUUUUACUGGGUAUUCUUGUUGUGUUCGUGAUGGCUAUUAAUGCGUUUAUUAUUUUCUUUAGAUGGCGACGGACUGCACGUCAGUUACCCGCUAACAACAUAGAAUAUUCGAGAGCUUUACAACAAGUUCAUAUAGUAAAUUCUAUAAACUAAAGUCAAAUAUUCAUAAAUGUAUUCAUACAAGAAUUUAUAGAACAGCUGAUUCCUGGAUAAUAAAAAUUGAAAAGAAAAAACUAUUACAUUUACUGAUAAUUAUUUAUUCUGUAUACUAUUAUUUACCCAUACUCGCUCCCUUCGGUUUUUUUUUUCGCCUCGUUUUGUAUAUUCUGAAAGGAUUUAUGUGAUUUGAACAUCAGUUAACUACUGUGCCUCUUUCUAUUACUAGCUGUUAAUUCCAUACCUGGGUCAAAACCACUUCGGUUUGUUAAAACAUAAUUUUUAUGAACUCGUGUGCUUAUCUAACACUUAAUUUUACAAUGAUGCAUUUCUUCUACCUGAAACCUAUAACGUUGAAAUAAUAGCCAUCAAAUUAAGUUUCUUUUUGUUGUUUUGUUUUAAAAUGCUUUGUUGCUUUUAUCUUUUAAUUAUGUGGGUACAUUAAUUGCAAAAUCAUUCCCUUAUGUUUUUUUUUAUUUAAAUAUUUCAUUUCC
Molecule: long non-coding RNA, 1317 nt
Organism: Mytilus californianus (California mussel)
Lineage: Eukaryota; Metazoa; Mollusca; Bivalvia; Mytilida; Mytilidae
Exons: 7
Source: RefSeq, a predicted model, not a curated record